RNAcentral lists this long non-coding RNA (4098 nucleotides) under Lactuca sativa (garden lettuce). Its description in RNAcentral is "long non-coding RNA (LSAT_LNC008893)". Lineage: Eukaryota; Viridiplantae; Streptophyta; Magnoliopsida; Asterales; Asteraceae. The record is from RNAcentral.
UGAAUCAUCAGAUGAAGAAGUAGUUCCGGAAACUCCACCUGUCACAACUAUGGUAAAUGUCUCUUUACCAAUACUUUCAACUUCGCAAAUUUCUACUACCAUUUCACAAACCCAACCACUCGAAAUAGUUCUUACCAAAUCAGUUACUGAGGAGGUACCUAUUUCCGAUAUGGUUGUCAACGUAUCUGAUACGGGGGAACCUAUCCCGAGUGUUGCAUCCACAAUACAAACAUCCUUACCUAUUACCACUUUAUCCACCACUUCAUCCAUCUUUGAUCAUACCCUUCAAAACCCAUUCACAACACUUUUUCCAUCCCAAUCACCCGAAAAUCCUCCACCUUCGAAACAAAUGUCUGAUACUGAAGUUGAAGGAGGUGCUUUUGGAGGAAUUCUAGAUGACAUUCCUUUUGAUUCAGACGAAGAAGAUAUUCCUGAUCAUAUGCUGAUGACAGGAAAGCAGUUUAAAAUCCUGAAUCAAAAGUUAAAGGACAUUAUCCAAUCGCAAGCCGAUUCUGGGAGAAUGUCUUCGAUAUCAGCAAUGGAGGUUGAUGUCAUGAUUAAAGGUGCUGAAAAAAGGAUCAUGGAGAAGGUUGAUCAAUCCGAUAAAAAUAACGAACUCAGAGUUCAAGCACAAGGGAACAAUUUUACUUCUGCAGUUCAAGAUCUUAAAGCUGCUACAAAAGAACGACACAUUCUUUUUGUACAAGACGUAAAGAAAGUUCGUGAGGAUGUCAACUUCAAGAUUCAGGAAUUGAAGUCUGAACUUGUGAAAGAUCUUCAGGAUGUGCAUACGAGACAAGAAGAUCUUCAAAAGCAAAUUAUGGAGAUUUCUUCUCAACUCCAAAAGCUCAAUAAUAUUCCUGUUAUUGAAGAUCAUAAAGCUGCAACAAUGGAGAAGUUUGAUCACCUGAUAACAUUGGUCACUGAGCUUAAAUCAGCCAUUUCGCAUUCUUCAUCAUCGCAAAUCAUUACUCCUGAAUUCUUGUCUCUAAAGAUUAAUACUUUAGAACAAGCUAUUCAAAAAGCUCUUGCUCCGCUUACAAAUUUCACUUCUUUCCUUCCGAAGAGUGCUCCACCUGUUUUCACUGGGGUGCAAGGGGGAGAGAAAAAUCGAAGUAAAGAAGAGGAGGCUAAAACAGUGGGAAAAGUGAUUUCGACUCAACUGGUAGCUACUCUUCCCUUUCCUACAAAACCGAUUUCUUUAACAACAAUCACCACAAAAACAGUUUCAAAGGGAAUUUUUAUUGGAGAAAACGAAGGAGGUUCAAGCUCAAAACCUCAGAAAGAUGUAAUAGGAAAAGGAAAAGGCAUUUUGUACGAAAAUUCGAAGGAGGAGUUAAAAGCUGAUGUUGAGGCUGAAUUGGAGAGGAUGAGACAAGUUCAGAGCAUCAUGAGACAAAGGGCAAGUGAUCCUCCCUCCAUGAACAAAGGAGAUCCUGCGAAACUUUACUCUUACGAAACUAUAGAGUCGAAAGUUGUGGGUAGGGAGAUGUAUGAGUUCGAGAAGAAGCCUAAAAGAAGUUACGAUUUUGCGAACUCAGAUCAUUGUCAACUGGACUUCCCAAUUAAUGAAAUGUUGUUCAUCAUAACUCAAUACAAGAUCAGUGAGAAAUUUGAUAAUCCAGAUGAUUAUACUCUUAUGAAAAUCAGAUUUCAUGCUGUUCUAGGGAAGAAUCCAGAUGAAGUUUGGUCCUUGAUGAAGAUCAAGAAGGUGCUUACAAUAAAGAAGGAUGUUUUGUUUGAAGACAUGCUUCAAAAUUUUCGAUAUUUUGUCAUCAGAGCUGACAACAAACAAUAUGACUUCACAGUUGCUGAUUUUCCGUUGAUGAACUGCAACGAUCUAAUUCAAGUAGCUCUAAUCUUGAAGCAUAUGGAAGAAAACAAUCUCAAAGGCUCUGAGACAGAUGUGUUUAAAGUUGGAUUCGCACAUGUGAAGACAUUUAUCGAUAACUAUUUCGAUUGUCUUGCUCUUACUGAUGAAGAAUUAGCGAAUGUGCUAGGAAGAGAAGUUAAAGUUCCAUGGGAGGAUACUUUGACACAAUCUGCUCUGUCGAAGUAUGUUGUGGGUGAGAUAUGCCUGAAACCUUUUGGCAUGGUGUUUUCGAGAAGAGAUACUAAAGGAAAACUGAAGAAAUUUCUCUUCAAAGCAUCAGAGAUUGAAAGAUACAAUUCUUCGCAAUAUACGCACUUCAUUAUACGUAUGAACUAUUGCAAGAAAAAUAACGAAGGAGACAAGAAAGACUUGAAGGAGGUGAUCUCCUGGUAUGGAGAAGUGCGAAGAACAAUUCACUCUGCAAUUCAAAAGCUUUUGAGUUGAAUUGUAUCGACUGUUUACAAAGGGGGAGAAUGUAAAUGUAUAUUGUAAAAAGUCGAAUAGUGUGUAUUGUAAUGUUUCGCAUUUGUAUGUUAUUUUACUAACCCAUUUUAUAUGCGAAGUUAAAAUGUAUAGACUUAGUAUAUUUUUUUGUAUGUUCCCUAUAAAUAGGGACUUAGGCUUGAAGUAGAUACACAAUAGCGAAACACAAAAUCUCUCUUCAGCUUACUCUGUAAUCAGUCUUAAUCAAUAUGAGAUCUGAUUAAUAUUUACUCUUUGUGUUCGUCUUCUUUAAUUAUUCAAAUCUAUCUUUUCUUUUCUAAAUUCUCGAUAACAAUUCUCAUAAAAUCUUCAAUUUCUGCUUCACCUUGCUUCUGGGGUUGAAGGAUUGAAUGUUGAAAGAAUAAUCUUCAUUUCUUGCUCCUUCGAAUGAGAGUUCUUCGAUGCUCACGGACGAAACCUUGGCUCAGAAAUCUUCGACACAAACUCCAUGAGUUUCAUCUUUACCUGAAUUCACUUUUCAAGACAAAACAAAACUAAAAGAAAAUUUAGCACACAAUAUUUUUGUUUUUUUUGUUUUUUUUUUUAAAUUUUUUGAACAAAAAAUAAAAUAGAAAUAACACUAUUUUUUAUUUUUAAUUUUUUGAUUUUUUUUUUAAUUUUUAAUUUCUAAUUCUCCCCCUUUUAUUUAUAUUAGAAGAACACUAUGAAGAAACUUAACAAAAACAAAAAUAAUAGCUAACUUUAAGAGUGAUUUGGGAUCAAAGUUUUUAGAUAGCCUUUAUCCGUUUAUCAGUACCUCUCCCUUCAUGAAUAGAUCUGGUCAAUCGCCGGUAUUGUGGUCCACUUAAACACGACAAAUUGUGACAAAAUUAGGACAUACUAUAAGUGACAAGACCAUGCGAUCCUAAGUUCCUAGAUAAUAUUCCUUAAGGUACAUUCAGCUGACGAAGACCAAAGAUAUUGUUGUUCACCUAAAUUGAGCAGCGAGAUCUACAGACAAUCUUUAUGUGUUCAAUUUUAAUUGUACUAGAACGUGUUUCCCGCUUCCUGACAUGCCCCAACCAUCAUGGACUUCCAAAAUACUCCUUACACCGGGUGAGCAAACAAUUAUUAAGAGAGAAGAUAAAUUUAGAAUGCAUAUGUUGUACAUCCAGGUCAGAUCUCUUCCAAUCACGCAAAGGAUGAAACAUAUGACUAACUGAAGUUUUAGAGGGAUUGAGAAGAGAACGUUGCAUAUACUGUGUACCAGGUCGGAUUUUGAGUCACGCAGAGGAGACAGUAUAUGGCUAACAGAUAGAAAGAAUUGCAUAGAUAGAAGAUGCAGAGAGAUAGAGAUGCAUAUGUUAUAGCCCAAGUCGGAUCCCCCAAUCACGCAAAGGAGGCAACAUAUGACUAACAGACAAAAAGAAAGAAAAUAACCUUCUACAGACCUAGUUUAUCGGAAUUCCCCAGUCACCCCAUCCAACAGGAAUUAAGGACAGAAUCUGCACAUUGAGGAAAAUUAAAUCCACAGUUCUAGAUACGGGUUAUAUUAAUGUGACCGGUAGAUUCCCAUGUAUAUCUCCCUGCUCAACCUAUCCGAGCGUCGUACUGUCAGGCUAAACGGAUCUAAGUAGGUCAAGAUUUUUCAAGUCUCUAGAUUCCUUAAGUUCAUUAAUGCCUAGUCAAGUCCAUUUUAAUCUUUCGUGCCUACCAGCGCAUCGAAUACAGAGCCUACACAAUUCAGAUUCAGUCCCUUACACGGAUUCAGAUUGCCUGUUAUCACAUGAUUAUGUCACUUC